UCCGGUUUGUCACCGGCAGUCUCCCUAGAGUGCCCUUGCGUAGCAACUAGGGACAAGGGUUGCGCUCGUUGCGGGACUUAACCCAACAUCUCACGACACGAGCUGACGACAGCCAUGCAGCACCUGUGUUCCGGUUCCCUUUCAGGCACACCCGCCUCUCAGCAGGCUUCCAGACAUGUCAAGGGUAGGUAAGGUUGUUCGCGUUGCAUCGAAUUAAUCCACAUGCUCCGCUGCUUGUGCGGGUCCCCGUCAAUUCCUUUGAGUUUUAACCUUGCGGCCGUACUCCCCAGGCGGUCAACUUCACGCGUUAGCUACGGUACUAAGGAAGUCUCCUUCCCCAACACCUAGUCGACAUCGUUUAGGACGUGGACUAC
RNAcentral lists this unclassified non-coding RNA (374 nucleotides) under uncultured Gammaproteobacteria bacterium. RNAcentral describes it as "contains 16S-23S intergenic spacer region". The record is from RNAcentral. Lineage: Bacteria; Pseudomonadati; Pseudomonadota; Gammaproteobacteria.